This 523-nucleotide ribosomal RNA is filed under the name uncultured soil bacterium. RNAcentral's name for it is "bacterial SSU rRNA". It matches the Rfam family "Bacterial small subunit ribosomal RNA", at positions 9 to 527 of the family's 1533-position model. The record is from RNAcentral.
GAGUUUGAUCCUGGCUCAGGUUGAACGCUGGCGGCAUGCCUUACACAUGCAAGUCGAACGGUAACAGGUCUUCGGAUGCUGACGAGUGGCGAACGGGUGAGUAAUACAUCGGGACCUACCCAGACGUGGGGGAUAACCUCGGGAAACCGGGACUAAUACCGCAUACGUCCUACGGGAGAAAGCGGGGGACCUUCGGGCCUCGCGCGGUUGGACGGACCGUUGUGCGAUUAGCUAGUUGGUAGGGUAAUGGCCUACCAAGGCGACGAUCGCUAGCUGGUCUGAGAGGAUGAUCAGCCACACUGGGACUGAGACACGGCCCAGACUCCUACGGGAGGCAGCAGUGGGGAAUAUUGGACAAUGGGCGCAAGCCUGAUCCAGCAAUGCCGCGUGUGUGAAGAAGGCCUUCGGGUUGUAAAGCACUUUUAUCAGGAACGAAAUACCACGGGUUAGUAACCUAUGGGGCUGACGGUACCUGAGGAAUAAGCACCCUCUUUAAAGGCGUGCCAGCAGCCGCGGUAAUACG